RNAcentral lists this ribosomal RNA (704 nucleotides) under Alternaria tenuissima. RNAcentral's name for it is "partial large subunit ribosomal RNA". It matches the Rfam family "Eukaryotic large subunit ribosomal RNA", at positions 222 to 948 of the family's 3401-position model. The record is from RNAcentral. Lineage: Eukaryota; Fungi; Ascomycota; Dothideomycetes; Pleosporales; Pleosporaceae.
CGUGGUCGCUGGCUAUUGCCGUGUAAAGCCCCUUCGACGAGUCGAGUUGUUUGGGAAUGCAGCUCUAAAUGGGAGGUACAUUUCUUCUAAAGCUAAAUAUUGGCCAGAGACCGAUAGCGCACAAGUAGAGUGAUCGAAAGAUGAAAAGCACUUUGGAAAGAGAGUCAAACAGCACGUGAAAUUGUUGAAAGGGAAGCGCUUGCAGCCAGACUUGCUUACAGUUGCUCAUCCGGGUUUUUACCCGGUGCACUCUUCUGUAGGCAGGCCAGCAUCAGUUUGGGCGGUAGGAUAAAGGUCUCUGUCACGUACCUCCUUUCGGGGAGGCCUUAUAGGGGAGACGACAUACUACCAGCCUGGACUGAGGUCCGCGCAUCUGCUAGGAUGCUGGCGUAAUGGCUGUAAGCGGCCCGUCUUGAAACACGGACCAAGGAGUCUAACAUCUAUGCGAGUGUUUGGGUGUCAAGCCCGAGCGCGUAAUGAAAGUGAACGGAGGUGGGAACCCGCAAGGGUGCACCAUCGACCGAUCCUGAUGUCUUCGGAAGGAUUUGAGUAAGAGCAUGGCUGUUGGGACCCGAAAGAUGGUGAACUAUGCUUGAAUAGGGUGAAGCCAGAGGAAACUCUGGUGGAGGCUCGCAGCGGUUCUGACGUGCAAAUCGAUCGUCAAAUUUGGGCAUAGGGGCGAAAGACUAAUCGAACAUUCAUAU